UACGGAGGGUGCAAGCGUUGUUCGGAAUCACUGGGCGUAAAGCGCGUGUAGGCGGUCUCCUAAGUCUGGUGUGAAAGCCCGGGGCUCACCCCCGGAAGUGCACUGGAAACUGAGGGACUCGAGUACCGGAGAGGAGGGUGGAAUUCCUGGUGUAGCGGUGAAAUGCGUAGAUAUCAGGAGGAACACCGGUGGCGAAGGCGGCCCUCUGGACGGAUACUGACGCUGAGACGCGAAAGCGUGGGGAGCAAACAGG
This 253-nucleotide ribosomal RNA is filed under the name uncultured bacterium. Its description in RNAcentral is "partial 16S ribosomal RNA". It matches the Rfam family "Bacterial small subunit ribosomal RNA", at positions 524 to 776 of the family's 1533-position model. The record is from RNAcentral.